This 490-nucleotide ribosomal RNA is filed under the name uncultured bacterium. RNAcentral's name for it is "partial 16S ribosomal RNA". It matches the Rfam family "Bacterial small subunit ribosomal RNA", at positions 30 to 507 of the family's 1533-position model. The record is from RNAcentral.
AUUGAACGCUGGCGGCAGGCCUAACACAUGCAAGUCGAACGGUAACAGAAAGCAGCUUGCUGCUUUGCUGACGAGUGGCGGACGGGUGAGUAAUGUCUGGGAAACUGCCUGAUGGAGGGGGAUAACUACUGGAAACGGUAGCUAAUACCGCAUAACGUCGCAAGACCAAAGAGGGGGACCUUCGGGCCUCUUGCCAUCGGAUGUGCCCAGAUGGGAUUAGCUAGUAGGUGGGGUAACGGCUCACCUAGGCGACGAUCCGUAGCUGGUCUGAGAGGAUGACCAGCCACACUGGAGCUGAGACACGGUCCAGACUCCUACGGGAGGCACCAGUGGGGAAUAUUGCACAAUGGGCGCAAGCCUGAUGCAGCCAUGCCGCGUGUAUGAAGAAGGCCUUCGGGUUGUAAAGUACUUUCAGCGGGGAGGAAGGGAGUAAAGUUAAUACCUUUGCUCAUUGACGUUACCCGCAGAAGAAGCACCGGCUAACUCCGUG